GCCAGAAGCCAUGUCACCCUGCAACUUACAAUUGGGAGCCCACUGAAGCUAAGCAGAAGUGAGCCUGGUCAGUACCUGGAUGGGAGAUCUCCUGGGAAAAACUAAGGUUGUUGCUGGAA
Molecule: ribosomal RNA, 119 nt
Filed under: Lepisosteus oculatus (spotted gar)
Lineage: Eukaryota; Metazoa; Chordata; Actinopteri; Semionotiformes; Lepisosteidae
Source: RNAcentral